Molecule: long non-coding RNA, 1236 nt
Organism: Microplitis mediator
Lineage: Eukaryota; Metazoa; Arthropoda; Insecta; Hymenoptera; Braconidae
Exons: 3
Source: RefSeq, a predicted model, not a curated record
UCCAGCCUCCCACACUGCGACAGUUUGAAGCCGGGGAUCUCUGGCUCAGGAUUUUUGUUUGAGGAAAGAAAAACAACCAUGAGUAAUAAAAAGAGUAAAUAGGAUUUAGAAAGAGCAACAAGUCGCCAAGUGCCCAGAGGCGACCUGUACAGUUUUAUAUGAAUAACAUGCUUACGCCUAAUGUAAUGUAACGUUACCUACUUAAACUCUGACUCGUAUUAUAUAUAAGCUAGACAGUUAACGUUACCAAGACUCGAGAUCCUCUUGAGCAAGGAGCGGCUGAAAAAUUAUCAUAACAUAAAUAAUCUAGGUGGGCGCGCCACCCGCAGUGACUCUGCUUCGUCUCUGCGAAAUUUCGGUCGUACUGGGAGCUGGGAGGUCACUAAUGUUUUUCUACGUAUCUUAAAACUUAUAGAAACUUUCUAGUUAUGUUAAGGACACGCCACGAGAUAUUACAACUCUAAUUUCAAUGACAAAACCAACGAUUGGGAAAGUUGUAAGCCCGAGAUACCGACAGCAGGAGUAACAGCAGCAGAAAAUAACAUCAGGGACAGACGGAGGCGAUCGUAGAAGCUCCCAGAGAAAUAAAUGAAUAAGAAUCCAGCACAUCCUGAGGACAACAGUUGAAUAUAUAUCUGUAUGUAUGUAGAAGAAGGAGAGUAGAACGGACGAUCGCGAUUCGAAAGCCGAUGUGGCUGGUACACACAAGUUGAACCGAUAAAUCAGACGCGCGCGUGCGACACACCGAAGGUUACUUCUUUCCACCCAUAUAAUAGGAACUUGUGCAUCGAGUACGAGAUAUAGGAGCUCCUAAGAUUGGUGGUGAGUCAACGUCCACGGGCUUCGCGAUCAAACUGACAAAGAAAUAGAAAUAAUAAAUAUUAAUGCGUCGAAUGACAAAGAGUAAACGCCGCCUCAAAAGAUAUAUGUCCGUAUACGUGCUCUUUCUGCGUCUCUCCUUCUCUCUCCAUCAGAACUUGUUCCUUUUAUUUAAUCGCUUUUAUGGAAAUGUCCGUAUCGUAUCGGUCUAGUGCGUGGUUGGAUACUCACAUAUCCACAACAUACAUUUUAUUUAUUAAAAUUAAGCUACACUAGUAAUAUAUAAUACACUUUACUGAUUACUCCGAUCACCAGGACAGUCUAACCGGUUUAUUAAACGGAUUUGUCGUAAAUAAAACUUAACUUUUUUUUUUUUUAUGGAUUAUUUUUAAAAUAUCACAUAUGCUUAUUAUUUAA